Molecule: ribosomal RNA, 181 nt
Filed under: uncultured bacterium
Lineage: Bacteria
Description: partial 16S ribosomal RNA
Rfam family: Bacterial small subunit ribosomal RNA
Source: RNAcentral
CAUGAAGCCGGAAUUGCUGUAAUGGCAGGUCAGCAUACUGCCGUGAAUACGUUCCCGGGCCUUGUACACACCGCCCGUCACACCAUGAGAGUUGGGAAUACCCGAAGCCUGUGAGCUAACUUUAGGGAGGCAGCAGUCGAAGGUAGAAUCAAUGAUUGGGGUGAAGUCGUAACAAGGUAUC